RNAcentral lists this transfer RNA (67 nucleotides) under Limnocentropus hysbald. RNAcentral describes it as "tRNA-Ser". The record is from RNAcentral. Lineage: Eukaryota; Metazoa; Arthropoda; Insecta; Trichoptera; Limnocentropodidae.
AAUUAAUGAGCUUGAAAAUAAGCGUUUGUUUUGAAAACUUAUAAAAGAAUAAAAUUUCUAUUAAUUU